This 367-nucleotide unclassified non-coding RNA is filed under the name soil metagenome. RNAcentral describes it as "partial contains 5.8S ribosomal RNA, internal transcribed spacer 2, and large subunit ribosomal RNA". The stretch from base 1 to 120 matches the Rfam family "5.8S ribosomal RNA", at positions 35 to 154 of the family's 154-position model. The record is from RNAcentral.
GAUGAAGAACGUAGCAAAAUGCGAUAAGUAAUGUGAAUUGCAGAAUUCAGUGAAUCAUCGAAUCUUUGAACGCAUCUUGCGCUCCUUGGUAUUCUGAGGAGCAUGCCUGUUUGAGUGUCAUUAAAUUCUCAACUACACUGACUUUGAAUUGGUGUGGCUUGGAUUUGGGGGGAAAAUUGUUGUGGGCUUUUUGUAUAGUCUGCUCCCCUGAAAUUGAUUAGCGGUACCUUUGUGGAACUGUCUACAGGUGUGAUAAUUAUCUACAUCUGCUGGAAUGCUGCUUUCUAAACCUUACUUGUAUUGACAAUCUUGACCUCAAAUCAGGUAGGACUACCCGCUGAACUUAAGCAUAUCAAUAAGCGGAGGA